This 468-nucleotide ribosomal RNA is filed under the name uncultured bacterium. RNAcentral's name for it is "partial 16S ribosomal RNA". It matches the Rfam family "Bacterial small subunit ribosomal RNA", at positions 28 to 507 of the family's 1533-position model. The record is from RNAcentral.
GACGAACGCUGGCGGCGUGCUUAACACAUGCAAGUCGAACGGAAAGGCCCUGCUUUUGUGGGGUGCUCGAGUGGCGAACGGGUGAGUAACACGUGAGUAACCUGCCCUUGACUUUGGGAUAACUUCAGGAAACUGGGGCUAAUACCGGAUAGGAGCUCCUGCUGCAUGGUGGGGGUUGGAAAGUUUCGGCGGUUGGGGAUGGACUCGCGGCUUAUCAGCUUGUUGGUGGGGUAGUGGCUUACCAAGGCUUUGACGGGUAGCCGGCCUGAGAGGGUGACCGGCAACAUUGGGACUGAGAGGCGGCCAAGACUCCUACGGGAGGCAGCAGUGGGGAAUAUUGCAAAAUGGGCGGAAGCCUGAUGCAGCAACGCCGCGUGCGGGAUGACGGCCUUCGGGUUGUAAACCGCUUUCGCCUGUGACGAAGCGUGAGUGACGGUAAUGGGUAAAGAAGAACCGGCUAACUACGUG